Molecule: long non-coding RNA, 863 nt
Organism: Nematostella vectensis (starlet sea anemone)
Lineage: Eukaryota; Metazoa; Cnidaria; Anthozoa; Actiniaria; Edwardsiidae
Exons: 2
Source: RefSeq, a predicted model, not a curated record
UUUGACCUACAGAAGAAAUGAUGACUCAGCACUUUGAGAGUGAAGCAUGUUUUACGUGCUUCAACAUCACCAGAGUCAUGACUCAGCAUUCUGAGAGAAGAAUGUAUCACGUGAUGCAACAUCUCUAGAGUCAUGACUCAGCAUUCUGAGAAAAGCAUGUAUCACGUAAUGCACAUCCACAGAGAGUCACAAUGUAAAUUGCACAGAUGAGACACUCUUAUAGUAUAACAUUGUAGUAUAAGUACUAUUUAAAACACGAGAAGGGGUGUUUUCGCGGGUAUAAACUCCCGAGGGCGAAGCUUAAAACACGCAUCAAUAUUCAAUAGGCAUGUUGAUCAAUCGAGAUGGAAAACGACAACAACAAUAGCUUUUGAAUUGUCAUUAAAAAGACUACCGGAAUAAAGUAUAUUGAAAGUAGAUUGAAAACUAUGCUAUUUACUAGGAAUAAAGUAGUUUACUGUAUGUGAUCUUACGUAUGUCGUUGUUUAUUUGACAAAUCUGCUUGAUGCAACAUUAUAUAUAGCUUCAUGACGUCAUGAGGGUUUUAUAUAAUCCUUCAUGUCUGUCAUUGUUUUUCUAUUGUACCCCAAUAUUUCCCUAGAGACGAUUUCAAUUCCCUCCCCGUGCUUUAGAUUUGUUGGGUGUAUUGCUAGGUAUAAAACCUAUUCACGUGUCCGAAAAACGACAUCCGAUUGGUCAACAUGCCUAUUGAAUAUUGAUUUUCUCUCCAUUUCGUGGAACAUGUACUGGAAUGACCUGGAGAUAAAAACAGGUUCUAGAAUAAGAUUGCCACGGUCAAAGAAGGAGACAGAGAAAAAGUGGAGACGAAGAACGACAUGGAGACAGAGAAGGAAGUGGAGACA